CAAUAGCGUAUAUUAAAGUUGUUGCAGUUAAAAGGCUCGUAGUUGGAUUUCUGGUUUGAUGCCCUGGCCCGCUUCAAAUUUUGGAGUGUGUGCCGGCUGUGCGUCUGCCAUCCUUCUAGAAAACGUUCGUACCCUUCACUGGGCCGCGUUCGAGAUCUAGAUCUUUUACUUUGAAAAAUUAGAGUGUUUAAAGCAGGCAGUUGCUAUGAAUACAUUAGCAUGGAAUAAUAAUCUAGGACUUCGGUUCUAUUUUGUUGGUUUCUAGUACUGAAGUAAUGAUUGAUAGGGAUAGUUGGGGGUGGCUAGUAUUGAGCGGCCAGAGGUGAAAUUCUUGGAUUCGCUCAAGACUAACUUAUGCGAAAGCAUUCACCAAGGAUGUCUUCUUUAAUCAAGAACGAAAGUUGGGGGAUCGAAGAUGAUUAGAUACCAU
This 430-nucleotide ribosomal RNA is filed under the name uncultured eukaryote. Its description in RNAcentral is "SSU rRNA". It matches the Rfam family "Eukaryotic small subunit ribosomal RNA", at positions 592 to 1018 of the family's 1831-position model. The record is from RNAcentral.